GAUGAUCAGCCACACUGGAACUGAGACACGGUCCAGACUCCUACGGGAGGCAGCAGUGGGGAAUAUUGCACAAUGGGCGAAAGCCUGAUGCAGCCAUGCCGCGUGUAUGAAGAAGGCCUUCGGGUUGUAAAGUACUUUCAGUUGUGAGGAAGGGGGUGUCGUUAAUAGCGGCAUCUCUUGACGUUAGCAACAGAAGAAGCACCGGCUAACUCCGUGCCAGCAGCCGCGGUAAUACGGAGGGUGCGAGCGUUAAUCGGAAUUACUGGGCGUAAAGCGCAUGCAGGUGGUUCAUUAAGUCAGAUGUGAAAGCCCGGGGCUCAACCUCGGAACUGCAUUUGAAACUGGUGAACUAGAGUACUGUAGAGGGGGGUAGAAUUUCAGGUGUAGCGGUGAAAUGCGUAGAGAUCUGAAGGAAUACCAGUGGCGAAGGCGGCCCCCUGGACAGAUACUGACACUCAGAUGCGAAAGCGUGGGGAGCAA
RNAcentral lists this ribosomal RNA (480 nucleotides) under Vibrio coralliilyticus. RNAcentral describes it as "bacterial SSU rRNA". It matches the Rfam family "Bacterial small subunit ribosomal RNA", at positions 299 to 771 of the family's 1533-position model. The record is from RNAcentral. Lineage: Bacteria; Pseudomonadati; Pseudomonadota; Gammaproteobacteria; Vibrionales; Vibrionaceae.